RNAcentral lists this ribosomal RNA (396 nucleotides) under Anaplasma phagocytophilum. RNAcentral's name for it is "bacterial SSU rRNA". It matches the Rfam family "Bacterial small subunit ribosomal RNA", at positions 61 to 484 of the family's 1533-position model. Lineage: Bacteria; Pseudomonadati; Pseudomonadota; Alphaproteobacteria; Rickettsiales; Anaplasmataceae. The record is from RNAcentral.
GUCGAACGGAUUAUUCUUUAUAGCUUGCUAUGGGGACAAUUAGUGGCAGACGGGUGAGUAAUGCAUAGGAAUCUACCUAGUAGUAUAGGAUAGCCACUAGAAGUGGUGGGUAAUACUGUAUAAUCCCUGCGGGGGAAAGAUUUAUCGCUACAUGAUGAGCCUAUGUUAGAUUAGCUAGUUGGUGGGGUAAAGGCCUACCAAGGCAGUGAUCUAUAGCUGGUCUGAGAGGAUGAUCAGCCACACUGGAACUGAGACACGGUCCAGACUCCUACGGGAGGCAGCAGUGGGGAAUAUUGGACAAUGGGCGAAAGCCUGAUCCAGCUAUGCCGCGUGAGUGAGGAAGGCCUUAGGGUUGUAAAACUCUUUCAGUAGGGAAGAUAAUGACGGUACCUAUAA